GAGCAGUGUCUGUCCCCAUUGUCACCUGUCCCUGUGCCAAGUGUCCCUCUGUCCCCUGUGUCCCCAGAGCUGGAGCAGUGUCUGUCUCUGUUGUCACCUGUCCUUGUCCCCAGAGCUGGAGCAGUGUCUGUCCCCUCGCUCUGUCCCCUGUGUGUCCCCAGAGCUGGAGCUGUCCCUGUGCCCGUUGUCCCCAUUGUUGCCAGAGCUGAAGGAGUUCCUGUCCCUGCUGUCCCUGUCCUUGUCCCCAUUGUCACGGUGUCCCCAGAGCUGGAGAAGUCCCUCUGCGCCAUUUUCUCGCGCUUUGGGCAGAUUUUGGACGUUUUGGUGUGGCGCAGUCUCCGCGUGCGGGGCCAGGCCUUCGUCACCUCCAAGGAGAUGAGCAGCGGCACCAACGCCCUGCACUCCAUGCAGGGCUUCCCCUUCUACGGCCAACCCGUGUGCUGAGGCAAUGGACUCUGGCACAGCUCUGAGCUCGUGCCCGUGGCAACCACCCCUGGCCAUGGGGCUCCAUGGAGCUGCUCUCAGGAUACCCCCCAAGAGUUGGGGAGUGCCCCAGAACCGCUCAGGAAUGAAGGAAGAUAAAAGAUAAAAAGAGACAAAAGAAAAGGAACAGCAGCCACUUCCCUCUGUGUAUCACAGGGAAUGUGGGUCACCA
Vidua chalybeata is the source of this 655-nucleotide long non-coding RNA. RefSeq lists it as uncharacterized. The transcript has 3 exons. Lineage: Eukaryota; Metazoa; Chordata; Aves; Passeriformes; Viduidae. The record is from RefSeq and is a predicted model, not a curated record.